GGGUUGUGAGGUUAAGCGACUAAGCGUACACGGUGGAUGCCCUGGCAGUCAGAGGCGAUGAAGGACGUGCUAAUCUGCGAAAAGCGCCGGCGAGGUGAUAUGAACCCUUGACCCGGCGAUGUCCGAAUGGGGAAACCCAGUGUGUUCCGACACACUAUCGUUAACUGAAUACAUAGGUUAACGAGGCGAACCGGGGGAACUGAAACAUCUAAGUACCCCGAGGAAAAGAAAUCAACCGAGAUUCCCCCAGUAGCGGCGAGCGAACGGGGAGCAGCCCGGAGUCUGAAUCAGCUUGUGUGUUAGUGGAACGGUCUGGAAAGUCCGACGGUACAGGGUGAUAGUCCCGUACACGAAAACACACUUGCUGUGAACUCGAAGAGUAGGGCGGGACACGUGGUAUCCUGUCUGAAUAUGGGGGGACCAUCCUCCAAGGCUAAAUACUCCUGACUGACCGAUAGUGAACCAGUACCGUGAGGGAAAGGCGAAAAGAACCCCGGCGAGGGGAGUGAAAAAGAACCUGAAACCGUGUACGUACAAGCAGUGGGAGCACCUUCGUGGUGUGACUGCGUACCUUUUGUAUAAUGGGUCAGCGACUUAUAUUCUGUAGCAAGGUUAACCGUAUAGGGGAGCCGAAGGGAAACCGAGUCUUAACUGGGCGUUAAGUUGCAGGGUAUAGACCCGAAACCCGGUGAUCUAGCCAUGGGCAGGUUGAAGGUUGGGUAACACUAACUGGAGGACCGAACCGACUAAUGUUGAAAAAUUAGCGGAUGACCUGUGGCUGGGGGUGAAAGGCCAAUCAAACCGGGAGAUAGCUGGUUCUCCCCGAAAGCUAUUUAGGUAGCGCCUCGUGAACUCAUCUUCGGGGGUAGAGCACUGUUUCGGCUAGGGGGCCAUCCCGGCUUACCAACCCGAUGCAAACUACGAAUACCGAAGAAUGUUAUCACGGGAGACACACGGCGGGUGCUAACGUCCGUCGUGAAGAGGGAAACAACCCAGACCGCCAGCUAAGGUCCCAAAGUCAUGGUUAAGUGGGAAACGAUGUGGGAAGGCACAGACAGCCAGGAUGUUGGCUUAGAAGCAGCCAUCAUUUAAAGAAAGCGUAAUAGCUCACUGGUCGAGUCGGCCUGCGCGGAAGAUGUAACGGGGCUAAACCAUGCACCGAAGCUGCGGCAGCGACGCUUAUGCGUUGUUGGGUAGGGGAGCGUUCUGUAAGCCGUUGAAGGUGUGCUGUGAGGCAUGCUGGAGGUAUCAGAAGUGCGAAUGCUGACAUAAGUAACGAUAAAGCGGGUGAAAAGCCCGCUCGCCGGAAGACCAAGGGUUCCUGUCCAACGUUAAUCGGGGCAGGGUGAGUCGACCCCUAAGGCGAGGCCGAAAGGCGUAGUCGAUGGGAAACAGGUUAAUAUUCCUGUACUUGGUGUUACUGCGAAGGGGGGACGGAGAAGGCUAUGUCAGCCGGGCGACGGUUGUCCCGGUUUAAGCAUGUAGGCGGAGGUUCCAGGUAAAUCCGGUACCUUUUAACGCUGAGGUGUGAUGACGAGGCACUACGGUGCUGAAGUGAUAAAUGCCCUGCUUCCAGGAAAAGCCUCUAAGCAUCAGGUAACACGAAAUCGUACCCCAAACCGACACAGGUGGUCAGGUAGAGAAUACCAAGGCGCUUGAGAGAACUCGGGUGAAGGAACUAGGCAAAAUGGUGCCGUAACUUCGGGAGAAGGCACGCUGAUAUGUAGGUGAAGUCCCUGCGGACGGAGCUGAAAUCAGUCGAAGAUACCAGCUGGCUGCAACUGUUUAUUAAAAACACAGCACUGUGCAAACACGAAAGUGGACGUAUACGGUGUGACGCCUGCCCGGUGCCGGAAGGUUAAUUGAUGGGGUUAGCGGCAACGCGAAGCUCUUGAUCGAAGCCCCGGUAAACGGCGGCCGUAACUAUAACGGUCCUAAGGUAGCGAAAUUCCUUGUCGGGUAAGUUCCGACCUGCACGAAUGGCGUAAUGAUGGCCAGGCUGUCUCCACCCGAGACUCAGUGAAAUUGAACUCGCUGUGAAGAUGCAGUGUACCCGCGGCAAGACGGAAAGACCCCGUGAACCUUUACUAUAGCUUGACACUGAACACUGGUCCUUGAUGUGUAGGAUAGGUGGGAGGCUUUGAAGCGUGGACGCCAGUCUGCGUGGAGCCAUCCUUGAAAUACCACCCUUUAAUGGCUGGUGUUCUAACGUAGACCCGUGAUCCGGGUUGCGGACAGUGUCUGGUGGGUAGUUUGACUGGGGCGGUCUCCUCCCAAAGAGUAACGGAGGAGCACGAAGGUUGGCUAAUCCUGGUCGGACAUCAGGAGGUUAGUGCAAUGGCAUAAGCCAGCUUGACUGCGAGCGUGACGGCGCGAGCAGGUGCGAAAGCAGGUCAUAGUGAUCCGGUGGUUCUGAAUGGAAGGGCCAUCGCUCAACGGAUAAAAGGUACUCCGGGGAUAACAGGCUGAUACCGCCCAAGAGUUCAUAUCGACGGCGGUGUUUGGCACCUCGAUGUCGGCUCAUCACAUCCUGGGGCUGAAGUAGGUCCCAAGGGUAUGGCUGUUCGCCAUUUAAAGUGGUACGCGAGCUGGGUUUAGAACGUCGUGAGACAGUUCGGUCCCUAUCUGCCGUGGGCGCUGGAGAAUUGAGGGGGGCUGCUCCUAGUACGAGAGGACCGGAGUGGACGCAUCACUGGUGUUCGGGUUGUCAUGCCAAUGGCACUGCCCGGUAGCUAAAUGCGGAAGAGAUAAGUGCUGAAAGCAUCUAAGCACGAAACUUGCCCCGAGAUGAGUUCUCCCUGAGACUUUAAGUCUCCUGAAGGAACGUUGAAGACGACGACGUUGAUAGGUCGGGUGUGUAAGCGCAGCGAUGCGUUGAGCUAACCGAUACUAAUGAACCGUGAGGCUUAACCUUACAACGCCGAAGGUGUUU
Molecule: ribosomal RNA, 2932 nt
Filed under: Enterobacter hormaechei subsp. oharae
Lineage: Bacteria; Pseudomonadati; Pseudomonadota; Gammaproteobacteria; Enterobacterales; Enterobacteriaceae
Description: bacterial LSU rRNA
Rfam family: Bacterial large subunit ribosomal RNA
Source: RNAcentral